Molecule: ribosomal RNA, 253 nt
Filed under: uncultured prokaryote
Description: partial 16S ribosomal RNA
Rfam family: Bacterial small subunit ribosomal RNA
Source: RNAcentral
UACAGAGGCCCCAAGCGUUAGUCGGAAUCACUGGGCUUAAAGGGUGCGUAGGCGGGUCAGUAAGUGUCUUGUGAAAGCCCACGGCUCAACCGUGGAACCGCAGGGCAUACUGCUGAUCUUGAGGAAGGUAGAGGCCGGUGGAACGGUAGGUGGAGCGGUGGAAUGCGUAGAGAUCUAGCGGAACGCCAAUGGUGAAGACAGCCGGCUGGGCCUUUCCUGACGCUGAGGCACGAAAGCGUGGGGAGCAAACAGG